GCCUUCGUCGUGUAACGGUAGCACACUGGACUCGUAUUCGAGAAGUCCAGGUUCAAGUCCCGGCGAGGGCA
RNAcentral lists this transfer RNA (71 nucleotides) under Stegodyphus mimosarum. It matches the Rfam family "tRNA". Rfam says of the family: Transfer RNA (tRNA) molecules are approximately 80 nucleotides in length. Their secondary structure includes four short double-helical elements and three loops (D, anti-codon, and T loops). Further hydrogen bonds mediate the characteristic L-shaped molecular structure. tRNAs have two regions of fundamental functional importance: the anti-codon, which is responsible for specific mRNA codon recognition, and the 3' end, to which the tRNAs corresponding amino acid is attached (by aminoacyl-tRNA synthetases). tRNAs cope with the degeneracy of the genetic code in two manners: having more than one tRNA (with a specific anti-codon) for a particular amino acid; and 'wobble' base-pairing, i.e. permitting non-standard base-pairing at the 3rd anti-codon position. The record is from Rfam by way of RNAcentral. Lineage: Eukaryota; Metazoa; Arthropoda; Arachnida; Araneae; Eresidae.